GGCCUGGUAGCUCAGUUGGAAGAGCAGUGCUAAAUAAUUGGAGUACCAGAAUUGUUUCUUGUACAGGCGCGUGUUCGAACCAUGCCCAGGCCA
Molecule: non-coding RNA, 93 nt
Organism: Mycena vulgaris
Lineage: Eukaryota; Fungi; Basidiomycota; Agaricomycetes; Agaricales; Mycenaceae
Source: the annotation of a GenBank genome assembly